This 602-nucleotide ribosomal RNA is filed under the name Corallococcus sp. x1a. RNAcentral describes it as "bacterial SSU rRNA". It matches the Rfam family "Bacterial small subunit ribosomal RNA", at positions 52 to 634 of the family's 1533-position model. Lineage: Bacteria; Pseudomonadati; Myxococcota; Myxococcia; Myxococcales; Myxococcaceae. The record is from RNAcentral.
CACAUGCAAGUCGAGCGCGAAUAGGGGCAACCCUUAGUAGAGCGGCGCACGGGUGCGUAACACGUGGAUAAUCUGCCUGGAUGCCUGGGAUAACCAGUCGAAAGAUUGGCUAAUACCGGAUAAGCCCACGGUUUCUUCGGAGACUGAGGGAAAAGGUGGCCUCUGUAUACAAGCUAUCACAACCAGAUGAGUCCGCGGCCCAUCAGCUAGUUGGCGGGGUAAUGGCCCACCAAGGCAACGACGGGUAGCUGGUCUGAGAGGACGAUCAGCCACACUGGAACUGAGACACGGUCCAGACUCCUACGGGAGGCAGCAGUGGGGAAUUUUGCGCAAUGGGCGAAAGCCUGACGCAGCAACGCCGCGUGUGUGAUGAAGGUCUUUGGAUUGUAAAGCACUUUCGACCGGGACGAAACCGUAAAGCCUAAUACGCUUUGCCUUGACGGUACCGGGAGAAGAAGCACCGGCUAACUCUGUGCCAGCAGCCGCGGUAAUACAGAGGGUGCAAGCGUUGUUCGGAAUUAUUGGGCGUAAAGCGCGUGUAGGCGGCUUUGCAAGUCGGGUGUGAAAGCCCUCAUCUCAACUGAGGAAGUGCGCCCGAACCU